AAUAAGUGCAGUUUUGCACUAUUCACGUUCAACGUUUGACCGUCCGUCUAAUUUGAAAUUUUUUUAUGAUUCGUAUUUUUAUUGAUAUUAGAUGAUAAAACAUGAAUAGUACUUUAUGUGUGACUAAAUGUUUUUAAUUUUUUCAUAAAUUUUUUAAAUAAGACGGACGGUCAAACGUUGAACGUGAAUAGUGCAAAACUGCACUUAUU
This is a non-coding RNA of Oryza nivara, 209 nucleotides long. The record is from Rfam. Lineage: Eukaryota; Viridiplantae; Streptophyta; Magnoliopsida; Poales; Poaceae.